GAUGAACGCUAGCGGCAGGCCUAAUACAUGCAAGUCGAGGGGUAAGGCUCUUUCGGGAGUACACGACCGGCGCACGGGUGCGUAACGCGUAUGCAACCUACCUUUAACAGUGGGAUAGCCCCGAGAAAUCGGGAUUAAUACCGCAUAACAAUGCGAAUUGGCAUCAAUUUGCAUUUAAAACUCCGGUGGUUAAAGAUGGGCAUGCGUGACAUUAGCUAGUUGGUAAGGUAACGGCUUACCAAGGCUACGAUGUCUAGGGGUUCUGAGAGGAUGAUCCCCCACACUGGUACUGAGACGCGGACCAGACUCCUACGGGAGGCAGCAGUAAGGAAUAUUGGUCAAUGGGCGCAAGCCUGAACCAGCCAUGCCGCGUGCAGGAAGACGGCCUUAUGGGUUGUAAACUGCUUUUAUUUAGGAAUAAUACCCCGCUCGUGAGCGGGGU
Molecule: ribosomal RNA, 442 nt
Filed under: uncultured Bacteroidota bacterium
Lineage: Bacteria; Pseudomonadati; Bacteroidota
Description: bacterial SSU rRNA
Rfam family: Bacterial small subunit ribosomal RNA
Source: RNAcentral